UCCGUAGGUGAACCUGCGGAGGGAUCAUUACUGAGUUACCGCUCAUCAACCCUUUGUGAACAUACCUUAACUGUUGCUUCGGCGGGUAGGCGUCCCCUAAAAAGGACGUCUCCCGGCCCUCUCCCGUCCGCGGGUGGGGCGCCCGCCGGAGGAUAACCAAACUCUGAUUUAACGACGUUUCUUCUGAGUGACACAAGCAAAUAAUCAAAACUUUUAACAACGGAUCUCUUGGUUCUGGCAUCGAUGAAGAACGCAGCGAAAUGCGAUAAGUAAUGUGAAUUGCAGAAUUCAGUGAAUCAUCGAAUCUUUGAACGCACAUUGCGCCCGCCAGCAUUCUGGCGGGCAUGCCUGUUCGAGCGUCAUUUCAACCCUCAAGCUCUGCUUGGUGUUGGGGCUCUACGGUUGACGUAGGCCCUUAAAGGUAGUGGCGGACCCUCUCGGAGCCUCCUUUGCGUAGUAACAUUUCGUCUCGCAUUGGGAUUCGGAGGGACUCUAGCCGUAAAACCCCCAAUUGUUGACCUCGGAUCAGGUAGGAAUACCCGCUGAACUUAAGCAUAUCAAUAAGCGGAGGA
Molecule: ribosomal RNA, 572 nt
Rfam family: 5.8S ribosomal RNA (bases 209-362)